This is a long non-coding RNA of Nomia melanderi (Alkali bee), 1015 nucleotides long. RefSeq lists it as uncharacterized. The record is from RefSeq and is a predicted model, not a curated record. Lineage: Eukaryota; Metazoa; Arthropoda; Insecta; Hymenoptera; Halictidae.
GCCAAUUCGAGUGAUUGUAUCGUUCGCUUGUGGGAUACUUUAGGUCACCGACGGUCACGGUAAACGCACUUGACACUUGGCACGCGCAGCAGUUUGUGUUUAAGCGCAAAUCAGGGAGAAUAACUGUCUUCGUGGGGCAUACAAUCUCGGUACUUAUAUGGAGAAAAAAUAUUUUAAAGCGAGGCAAACAAUGAAACAGAACUGGCAAUGUCUAUAUUCAACGCGUGUGGGUAUGGUGUUCUGGGUGUGUGGAAGGUAGAAGAAAUAUAUCGACCUUUCACGUGAAAAUUGGCGAGACCCAUUUUCGGUGUUAUAAAGAUUCUUAUAUCUAUUCUACCCCCUGUUUGUGUGUUGUUCGAAAUCGAUUUCGAGACUGUCUGGUAAUGGUGAAGGCUAACGUGUUUCUUGUGCGACCGGAUAACGUGUCACGUUAAAUUAAAAAACGUUGGAUCCGGGUACGGGUGGGAGUUUGCGGUUCGGGGGUGCGAUGUAGCCGAGUUCAUCACGAAGAUCGGGCCUGCGUUUGUCAAGAGUAGCUCCGCCAACACCGGUUUGCUGAUAGACCACGUCAUCUGAAAGGACGGCGAACUUCUGGAUCGAUCAUCAGAAAAAUAACAUCUAAAAUGUUAUCCAAGCGGGAAUUAUCCGGCGAACCGUUUUCUUAUUCCACAUAGAGAAAUUAUCUUACUGAUAAUCAUCCAACAGUUCAAUGACUUAGCAAGUUAAAAAAAUAAAAAAAAGGUUGGUAUACAUUGUCCCUCGUAAUAUUUCUCGUCGGCUGAUGAGAUACCUCGCAGCCGCGUUUGUUCCGGACCUCGAGUUCUUCUCGACAGUGCGACGCAAAUCACCAUAAUGCCUACAAUAAUCACUACAACCGUAGCUCCGACCGGCACCACCACGUUUACGUCAAGCCAACUCGGUAACCAGGGGAAAUAACGUCUGACGUCCGUGUUGUCGUUACCUCCGUUGCGUACGGGGGGUGCGAUCGUACCUGUACGUUAAAACAGUAAAAAGA